Molecule: ribosomal RNA, 482 nt
Filed under: uncultured bacterium
Lineage: Bacteria
Description: bacterial SSU rRNA
Rfam family: Bacterial small subunit ribosomal RNA
Source: RNAcentral
UUGAACGCUGGCGGCAUGCUUUACACAUGCAAGUCGAACGGCAGCGGGGGCUUCGGCCUGCCGGCGAGUGGCGAACGGGUGAGUAAUGCAUCGGAACGUACCCAGUCGUGGGGGAUAACUACGCGAAAGCGUGGCUAAUACCGCAUACGCCCUGAGGGGGAAAGCGGGGGACCUUCGGGCCUCGCGCGAUUGGAGCGGCUGAUGUCAGAUUAGCUAGUUGGUGGGGUAAAGGCCCACCAAGGCAACGAUCUGUAGCUGGUCUGAGAGGACGACCAGCCACACUGGGACUGAGACACGGCCCAGACUCCUACGGGAGGCAGCAGUGGGGAAUUUUGGACAAUGGGCGCAAGCCUGAUCCAGCAAUGCCGCGUGCAGGAAGAAGGCCUUCGGGUUGUAAACUGCUUUUGUACGGAACGAAAAGGUCUGGGUUAAUACCCUGGGCCCAUGACGGUACCGUAAGAAUAAGCACCGGCUAACUACGU